GAUGAACGCUGGCGGCGUGCUUAACACAUGCAAGUCGAACGGAGAAUCGCCCUUCGGGACGGUUCUUAGUGGCGGACGGGUGAGUAACGCGUGAGGAACCUGCCUUGGAGUGGGGAAUAACGGCUGGAAACGGCCGCUAAUACCGCAUAAUGCAGUUGGGUCGCAUGGCUCUGACUGCCAAAGAUUUAUUGCUCUGAGAUGGCCUCGCGUCUGAUUAGCUGGUUGGUGAGGUAACGGCUCACCAAGGCGACGAUCAGUAGCCGGACUGAGAGGUUGGCCGGCCACAUUGGGACUGAGACACGGCCCAGACUCC
This 313-nucleotide ribosomal RNA is filed under the name uncultured Oscillospira sp. RNAcentral describes it as "bacterial SSU rRNA". It matches the Rfam family "Bacterial small subunit ribosomal RNA", at positions 28 to 339 of the family's 1533-position model. Lineage: Bacteria; Bacillati; Bacillota; Clostridia; Eubacteriales; Oscillospiraceae. The record is from RNAcentral.